GAUGAACGCUGGCGGCGUGCUUAACACAUGCAAGUCGAACGGGAAACCUUUUAUUGAAGCUUCGGCAGAUUUAGCUGGUUUCUAGUGGCGGACGGGUGAGUAACGCGUGGGUAACCUGCCUUAUACAGGGGGAUAACAGUCAGAAAUGGCUGCUAAUACCGCAUAAGCGCACAGAGCUGCAUGGCUCAGUGUGAAAAACUCCGGUGGUAUAAGAUGGACCCGCGUUGGAUUAGCUGGUUGGUGGGGUAACGGCCCACCAAGGCGACGAUCCAUAGCCGGCAUGAGAGGGUGAACGGCCACAUUGGGACUGAGACACGGCCCAGACUCCUACGGGAGGCAGCAGUGGGGAAUAUUGCACAAUGGGGGAAACCCUGAUGCAGCGACGCCGCGUGAAGGAAGAAGUAUCUCGGUAUGUAAACUUCUAUCAGCAGGGAAGAUAAUGACGGUACCUGACUAAGAAGCCCCGGCUAACUACGUG
Molecule: ribosomal RNA, 478 nt
Filed under: uncultured bacterium
Lineage: Bacteria
Description: partial 16S ribosomal RNA
Rfam family: Bacterial small subunit ribosomal RNA
Source: RNAcentral